RNAcentral lists this ribosomal RNA (452 nucleotides) under Cryptosporidium ryanae. RNAcentral describes it as "SSU rRNA". It matches the Rfam family "Eukaryotic small subunit ribosomal RNA", at positions 567 to 1055 of the family's 1831-position model. Lineage: Eukaryota; Apicomplexa; Conoidasida; Eucoccidiorida; Cryptosporidiidae. The record is from RNAcentral.
CCAGCAGCCGCGGUAAUUCCAGCUCCAAUAGCGUAUAUUAAAGUUGUUGCAGUUAAAUAGCUCGUAGUUAAUUUUCUGUUAAUAUUUAUAUACAAUGCUACGGUAUUUAUAUAAUAUUAACAUAAUUCAUAUUACUUUUUAGUAUAUGAAACUUUACUUUGAGAAAAUUAGAGUGCUUAAAGCAGGCUAUUGCCUUGAAUACUCCAGCAUGGAAUAAUAUUAAGGAUUUUUAUUCUUCUUAUUGGUUCUAGAAUAAAAAUAAUGAUUAAUAGGGACAGUUGGGGGCAUUUGUAUUUAACAGUCAGAGGUGAAAUUCUUAGAUUUGUUAAAGACAAACUACUGCGAAAGCAUUUGCCAAGGAUGUUUUCAUUAAUCAAGAACGAAAGUUAGGGGAUCGAAGACGAUCAGAUACCGUCGUAGUCUUAACCAUAAACUAUGCCAACUAGAGAUUG